Hippocampus zosterae (dwarf seahorse) is the source of this 329-nucleotide long non-coding RNA. RefSeq lists it as uncharacterized. The transcript has 2 exons. NCBI's taxonomy places the organism in Eukaryota, Metazoa, Chordata, Actinopteri, Syngnathiformes, Syngnathidae. The record is from RefSeq and is a predicted model, not a curated record.
UGGCAUUGGCUAGUGAUGGAAAAAAAGCGGAAAGGGGCGUGGCCUGGGCGGGGCGACCAAUCACAACAAGGAAGACAUCAUACAUGUCCAAUCGCAGGGCUGUUUACAAUCGGAAGAUGGAAAGACUGAUCGGGAGAGCACGUGAAAACUCGACGAUAAGGUACCCGACCCCCCCUAAAAUUUUCUCAGCGGAUUUAGACGAUUCACAAGAAUUAUCAAUUUAAGAAAUAAAACAGCGGAUUUCCGCGUAUCCGCAGAAAAUUGCCAUCCCUGUACAAUAGCAGACUUGCGCCAUGAUCGGACUGUGUUUUGCGCAAUGGAAACUGAAC